UGAAGGACUGUUUGUUUGGAGAGAGAGAGAGAGAGAGAGAGAGAGGAGUAUUGAGGGGGUUGACGGACUGUUUGUUUGGAGAGAGAGAGAGAGAGAGAGAGAGAGGAGUAUUGAGGGGGUUGAAGGACUGCUUGUUGGAAGAGAGAGAGAGAGGAGUGUUGAGGGGGUUGAAGGACUGUUUGUUUGGAGAGAGAGAGAGAGAGAGAGUGAAGGGAGUAUUGAGGGGGUUGAAGGACUGUUUGUUUGGAGAGAGAGAGAGAGAGAGAGAGAGAGAGGGAGUAUUGAGGGGGUUGAAGGACUGUUUGUUGGGAGAGAGAGAGAGAGAGGAGUAUUGAGGGCGUUGAAGGACUGCUUGAUGGAAGAGAGAGAGAGAGGAGUGUUGAGGGGGUUGAAGGACUGUUUGUUGGGAGAGAGAGAGAGAGAGAGAGAGAGAGAGAGAGGGAAUAUUGAGGGGGUUGAAGGACUGCUUGUUGGAAGAGAGAGAGAGAGGAGUGUUGAGGGGGUUGAAGGACUGUUUGUUUGGAGAGAGAGAGAGAGAGAGUGAGAGAGAGAGGGGAUUAUUGAGGGGGUUGAAGGACUGUUUGUUUGGAGAGAGAGAGAGAGAGAGAGAGAGAGAGAGAGAGAGAGAGAGAGAGGGGGGGAGAGGGAGUAUUGAGGGGGUUGAAGUACUGCUUGUUGGAAGAGAGAGAGAGAGGAGUAUUGAGGGGGUUGAAGGACUGCUUGUUGGAAGAGAGAGAGCGAGAGAGGGAGAGGGGAGUAUUGAGGGGGUUGAAGGACUGCUUGUUGGAAGAGAGAGAGAGAGAGAGGAGUUUUGAGGGGGUUGAAGGACUGCUUGUUGGAAGGGAGAGAGAGAGAGAGAGAGAGAGGGAGUAUUGAGGGGGUUGAAGGACUGCUUGUUGGAAGAGAGAAAGAGAGAGAGAGGAGUAUUGAAGGUGUUUAAGGACUGCUUGUUGAAAGAGAGAGAGAGAGAGAGAGUAGUAUUAAGGGGGUUGAAGGACUGCUUGUUGGAAGAGAGAGAGAGAGAGAGAGAGAGAGAGAGGGAGUAUUGAGGGGGUUGAAGGACUGCUUGUUGGAAGAGAGAGAGAGGAGUAUUGAAGGGGUUGAAGGACUGUUUGUUGGAAGAGAGAGAGAGAGAGAGAGAGGAGUAUUGAGGGGGUUGAAGGACUGUUUGUUGGGAGAGCGAGAGAGAGAGAGAGAGAGAGAGAGAGGAAGGAGUAUUGAGGGGGUUGAAGGACUGUUUGUUUGGAGAGAGAGAGAGAGAGAGAGAGAGAGAGGGAGUAUUGAGGGGGUUGAAGGACUGUUUGUUGGGAGAGAGAGAGAGAGAGGAGUAUUGAGGGCGUUGAAGGACUGCUUGAUGGAAGAGAGAGAGAGAGGAGUGUUGAGGGGGUUGAAGGACUGUUUGUUGGGAAGAGAGAGAGAGAGAGAGAGAGAGAGAGGAGUAUUGAGGGGGUUGAAGGACUGUUUGUUGGGAGAGAGAGAGAGAGAGAGAGAGAGAGAGAGAGAGGAGUAUUGAGGGGUUGAAGGACUGUUUGUUGGGAGAGAGAGAGAGAGAGAGAGAGGGAGUAUUGAGGGGGUUGAAGGACUGUUUGUUGGGAGAGAGAGAGAGAGGGGAGUAUUGAGGGCGUUGAAGGACUGCUUGAUGGAAGAGAGAGAGAGAGGAGUGUUGAGGGGGUUGAAGGACUGUUUGUUUGGAGGGAGAGAGAGAGAGAGGAGUAUUGAGGGGGUUGAAGGACUGUUUGUUUGGAGAGAGAGAGAGCGAGAGGAAGAGAGAGAGGGAGUAUUGAGGGGGUUGAAGGACUGCUUGUUGGAAGAGAGAGAGAGAGGAGUAUUGAGGGGUUGAAGGACUGCUUGUUGGAAGAGAGAGCGAGAGAGAGAGGGUUGUAUUGAGGGGGGUUGAAGGACUGCUUGUUGGAAGAGAGAGAGAGAGAG
Molecule: long non-coding RNA, 1929 nt
Filed under: Salmo salar (Atlantic salmon)
Lineage: Eukaryota; Metazoa; Chordata; Actinopteri; Salmoniformes; Salmonidae
Description: lncRNA (ENSSSAG00000095581.1)
Source: RNAcentral